CGGAGGAUCCAAGCGUUAUCCGGAUUUAUUGGGUUUAAAGGGUGCGUAGGCGGUUUAUUAAGUCAGUGGUGAAAGCCCGGAGCUCAACUUCGGAACUGCCAUUGAUACUGAUAGACUUGAGUACAGAUGAAGUGGGCGGAAUGUGACAAGUAGCGGUGAAAUGCUUAGAUAUGUCAUGGAACACCGAUUGCGAAGGCAGCUCACUAAAGUGUAACUGACGCUGAGGCACGAAAGCGUGGGGAUCAAACAGGAUUAGAUACCCUGGUAGUCCACGCCCUAAACGAUGAUUACUCGCUGUUAGCGAUAUACUGUUAGCGGCUAAGCGAAAGCGUUAAGUAAUCCACCUGGGGAGUACGGUCGCAAGAUUG
RNAcentral lists this ribosomal RNA (368 nucleotides) under uncultured organism. RNAcentral describes it as "bacterial SSU rRNA". It matches the Rfam family "Bacterial small subunit ribosomal RNA", at positions 526 to 896 of the family's 1533-position model. The record is from RNAcentral.